CUGCAGGUAGCAAUGGGGAGCACAGAGAACAGCAAACUCACCCUCUGAGCUUAAGGUACAUAGAGUGUGAGAGAAUAGACCGCCUACUAUUGAGAAAGUUGCAGUGGCAAGUCUGCAAGGGCAGAGUUAAUGCCCCAAUAGAGGGACGCUCCAGAAAUAGCUUCAGGACACAGGAGUGGCAGUGACUGAGUUUGGAAGAUGGGGAAGAGAAUGCCUGAUGGAAUUACAGGCAAGGAAGAACUGAUUAUCCUGGUACGAUGGAGUGGAAGAAAAUUCUCCAAGUGGCUUCCUGUUUGGGGAGGGCCUCCCUGGAAUAUCUCUGCAGAGGGUGGCUCGUGGAUAGAGAGUGCAGGGGAACUCGGUUUCAGUGAGCUGGAUUUUCAGUUUCUUACAACCUUGCUCUUUGGGUACAUCCACCAAGUCCAACUUGUGUUUUGGCUCAUUUCCUUCCAGCUAAAGGGCGCUUUCAUCUUCUGGCAAGGGGCCUGGGUUGACCUGAGGUAAAAAUCUUGCUACCUUUGUUUCCUCCAGGGGAGAGGGAUUUUUUUUUGGUUUAGCAUUUUGUAUAGUUUUGCCCAUUUAUUUUAUUUGCCUUGCUCUUAAUCAUAAGGAAUAUCUGUUUCUGAUAUAAAUGUCUAACUUUUAUGCCCCCUGCAGUGGACUGUAUUUUCCAAAAAUGGCCACAACCAUCUCUCUCUUUCCCCAUGAAGAGGUGGAAUCCAUUUCUUUCCCUCCCCCUUGAAUCCAGGCAGGCGCUGUGACUGUUCUGACAGAUAGAGGACAGCAGAAGUGGUGGCGGGCUUAGCCCUUCACGGGCUCUUUCAGCCCGCAGCGGGGUGAGGCCAUUUGGAGAAACACAGAGGCACCAGGGAUGAGGUGAAGGCACCCAGCCCCCUUAUCUAAAUAAAGCUGCAGGAGAGAGACCAGGGUGAAAAAACCACCCAGCGGAGUUCAAUCAACCCACAGAUUCCCUGAGAGAUAAUGAUAAACAGCUGUGUGAGCCUCUGACUUUCAGCUUGUUCACAGCCAGAGAUGCUCAGGAUAUCAUCUUGGUUGUUAACUCUGCUGCUGCUGCUGCUGCUACUGCUAAGUCGCUUCAGCCGUGUCCAACUCUGUGCGACCCCAUAGACGGCAGCCCACCAGGCUCCCCCGUCCAUGGGAUUCUCCAGGCAAGAACACUGGAAUGGGUUGCCAUUUCCUUCUCCAAAGCAUGAAAGUGAAAAGUAAAAGUGAAGUCGCUCAGUUGUGUCCAACUCCUAGCGACCACAUGUACUGCAGCCUACCAGGGAUUUUCCAGGCAAGAGUACUGGAGUGGGUUGCCAUUGCCUUCUCAGUGUUAACUCUAGCAAAACCUAAAAAAAAAAAAAAAAAGAAAAAAAGAAAACACCUGUUCUUCCACACCAUUUCUUUUCACACAGUAAUGGCAAAUGGCAACAUCCAGCAGUCAGCUUUUGUAUGAAAGACCAAACCUGGUGAAAAGUGGUUUAGGGCUGUCAAAGUAAAAUGUGUGAAAAUGCAAGCUAUAAAACCAAUAUUUAAAGUCUUUCCUCUGUAUGCUUCAUCCAGUUUGAUUGCCACGCCUGGGUGUAAAUGAAAACCACGAGCAGAACCCUGAAAAAUACUUAUGCCUUAACCAAAAUCUUAAAAAACUUGUUGAUAUCAAAACUGCUGCACUGACUGAAACCAUAUGAGGCACUACUACAUACUUAUCCUGCUGCUGCGUCGCUUCAGUCGUGUCCGACUCUGUUCGACCCCAUAGACGGAAGCCCACCAGGCUCCCCCGUCCCUGGGACUCUCCAGGCAAGAACACUGGAGUGGGUUGCCAUUUCCUUCUCCAAUGCACGAAGUGAAAAGUGAAAGUGAAGUCGCUCAGUCGUGUCCGACCCUCAGUGACCCCAUGAACUGCAGCCUACCUGUCUCCUCCAUCCAUGGGAUUUUCCAGGCAAGAGUACUGGAGUGGGGUGCCAUCGCCUUCUCCCAUACUUAUCCUAGUAUGGCUAAAAUUAAAAAGAGUGAUUAUAGUAAGUGUUGGCAAGGGUGUGGAGGAAGUGGAACUCUCUGAUACUGCUUGCAGGAAUGGAAA
Molecule: long non-coding RNA, 2083 nt
Organism: Bos taurus (domestic cattle)
Lineage: Eukaryota; Metazoa; Chordata; Mammalia; Artiodactyla; Bovidae
Source: Ensembl